This 442-nucleotide ribosomal RNA is filed under the name uncultured bacterium. RNAcentral's name for it is "bacterial SSU rRNA". It matches the Rfam family "Bacterial small subunit ribosomal RNA", at positions 28 to 516 of the family's 1533-position model. The record is from RNAcentral.
GACGAACGCUGGCGGUGUGCUUCACACAUGCAAGUCGAACGAGGUAGCAAUACCUAGUGGCGGACGGGUGAGUAACGCGUGGGAAUCUGCCUUUAGAUGGGGGAUAACGGGUCGAAAGACUCGCUAAUACCGCAUAUGACGAAAGUUGAAAGGAGUAAUCCGUCUAAAGAUGAGCCCGCGUCCGAUUAGCUAGUUGGUAGAGUAAAAGCCUACCAAGGCGACGAUCGGUAGCUGGUCUGAGAGGAUGAUCAGCCACAAUGGGAACUAGAGACACGGCCCAUACUCCUACGGAGGCAGCAGUGGGAAUUUUACGCAAUGGGCGAAAGCCUGACGUAGCGACACCGCGUGAGCGAAGAAGCCCUGGGUGUAAAGCUCUGUCAGCUGGAACGAAAAAAAUGACGGUACCAGCAGAGGAAGCAUCGGCUAACACGUGCCAGCAGCC